GGGCCUGUAGCUCAAUGGCAGAGCAGGCGGCUCAUAACCGCUUGGUUUCAGGUUCGAGUCCUGGCGGGCCCA
This 72-nucleotide transfer RNA is filed under the name Anaerolineales bacterium. RNAcentral's name for it is "tRNA-Ile". It matches the Rfam family "tRNA". From Rfam's summary of the family: Transfer RNA (tRNA) molecules are approximately 80 nucleotides in length. Their secondary structure includes four short double-helical elements and three loops (D, anti-codon, and T loops). Lineage: Bacteria; Bacillati; Chloroflexota; Anaerolineae; Anaerolineales. The record is from RNAcentral.